This 379-nucleotide ribosomal RNA is filed under the name uncultured bacterium. RNAcentral describes it as "bacterial SSU rRNA". It matches the Rfam family "Bacterial small subunit ribosomal RNA", at positions 790 to 1167 of the family's 1533-position model. The record is from RNAcentral.
GUAGUCCACGCCGUAAACGGUGGACGCUGGAUGUGGGGCCCAUUCCACGGGUUCUGUGUCGGAGCUAACGCGUUAAGCGUCCCGCCUGGGGAGUACGGCCGCAAGGCUAAAACUCAAAGAAAUUGACGGGGGCCCGCACAAGCGGCGGAGCAUGCGGAUUAAUUCGAUGCAACGCGAAGAACCUUACCUGGGCUUGACAUGUGCCUGACGACUGCAGAGAUGUGGUUUCCUUUCGGGGCAGGUUCACAGGUGGUGCAUGGUAGUCGUCAGCUCGUGUCGUGAGAUGUUGGGUUAAGUCCCGCAACGAGCGCAACCCUCGCCCUGUGUUGCCAGCGGGUUAUGCAGGGAACUCACGGGGGACCGCCGGGGUUAACUCGGA